UGAGGGCUCCAGGUGACGGUGG
This 22-nucleotide microRNA is filed under the name Homo sapiens (human). RNAcentral's name for it is "hsa-miR-4721". The record is from miRBase by way of RNAcentral. Lineage: Eukaryota; Metazoa; Chordata; Mammalia; Primates; Hominidae.